RNAcentral lists this non-coding RNA (21 nucleotides) under Caenorhabditis elegans. Lineage: Eukaryota; Metazoa; Nematoda; Chromadorea; Rhabditida; Rhabditidae. The record is from RNAcentral.
UGUAGUAUACGAGGAGUAGGA